RNAcentral lists this ribosomal RNA (1076 nucleotides) under uncultured organism. RNAcentral describes it as "bacterial SSU rRNA". It matches the Rfam family "Bacterial small subunit ribosomal RNA", at positions 165 to 1276 of the family's 1533-position model. The record is from RNAcentral.
AAUACCCAAUGUGCUCGGUGAUUCGGUUCAUCGAGUAAAGCUCCGGCGCUUCGGGAGAGGCCUGCGGCCCAUCAGCUAGUUGGUAGGGUAACGGCCUACCAAGGCAGAGACGGGUAGGGGGCGUGAGAGCGCGGACCCCCACACUGGCACUGAGAUACGGGCCAGACUCCUACGGGAGGCAGCAGUAAGGGAUAUUGCGCAAUGGACGAAAGUCAGACGCAGCGACGCCGCGUGGGCGAUGAAGGCCUUCGGGUUGUAAAGCCCUUUUAUGGGGGAAGAGAAAAAGGACGGUACCCCAGGAAUAAGUCCCGGCUAACUACGUGCCAGCAGCCGCGGUAAAACGUAGGGGACAAGCGUUAUCCGGAUUCACUGGGCGUAAAGAGCGUUGAGGCGGUUCCGUAAGUUGGGCGUGAAAGCUCCGGGCUUAACUCGGAGAUGUCGUUCAAUACUGCGGGGCUUGAGGACAGCAGAGGAAGGUGGAAUUCCCGGUGUAGUGGUGAAAUGCGUAGAUAUCGGGAGGAACACCCGUGGCGAAGGCGGCCUUCUGGGCUGUUCCUGACGCUGAAGGCGAAAGCUAGGGGAGCGAACGGGAUUAGAUACCCCGGUAGUCCUAGCUGUAAACGAUGGAUGCUGGGUGUGGGGGGUGUAAAUUCCCUCUGUGCUGAAGCAAACGCGUUAAGCAUCCCGCCUGGGGACUACGGCCGCAAGGCUAAAACUCAAACGAAUUGACGGGGGCCCGCACAAGCAGCGGAGCGUGUGGUUUAAUUCGAUGCUACACGAAGAACCUUACCUGGGUUUGACAUGCACGUGGUAGGGAACUGAAAGGGGACCGACCUUCGGGAGCGUGCACAGGUGCUGCAUGGCUGUCGUCAGCUCGUGCCGUGAGGUGUCGGGUUAAGUCCCGUAACGAGCGCAACCCUUGCCCUUAGUUACAAGUGUCUAAGGGGACUGCCCGGGACAACUGGGAGGAAGGUGGGGAUGACGUCAAGUCAGCAUGGCCUUUAUAUCCAGGGCUACACACACGCUACAAUGGCCGGUACAAUAGGUUGCGAAGUCGUGAGGCGGAGCCAAUCCUC